This is a long non-coding RNA of Macaca fascicularis (crab-eating macaque), 1674 nucleotides long. Lineage: Eukaryota; Metazoa; Chordata; Mammalia; Primates; Cercopithecidae. The record is from Ensembl.
AUAUCGUGCCCAUGGGUGUCCCCCACAACGUCAUCCGGGACAUUCAGUUUCGAGGUCACCUUCUGCCCGAGGUGGCGUAGCCCCCUCAUUGCCUCCCUUCCACUGCACUCGUCUCUCCCCCUGGUUCCCUACUCCUGUAGCCCAACACUGAUUUCUCCUAACUGCCCCCAUUUUCACCCCAGGGCACAGACGUAUUUCCCCUGCCUGGCUCUGUCCUCAAAGACCCCAAAUACUUCCGCUAGCCAGAAGCCUUCUAUCCCCAGCACUUUCCGGAUGAGCUGGGCCGCUUCAAGAAGAAUGGAGCCUUUGUGCCUUUUUCCUCUGAACUUCUCUCCACGCUCGCUGGUGCCGCCCGCGGACAUCGAUGUCACCCCCAAGCUCUCAGGCUUUGGUAACAUCCCUCUGACUAUGAACUCUGCCUCGUGGCCGCUGAGUGCCACCUGUGGGGCAAGGAGGAAGCGGUGAAGAACGCAGCUCCACCAAUGACACGGAGGUAGACCAUUCAUAACAGACAUCAGCCAUUUGCAUUGUUGGAGCAGGGUCCUGUUAACCAGGUUGUGCCAGAAUCACGGGGGAGGCACAGAGAGGAACUUAGGGGAUGAUCCAGAGGAGUGGGCAGUGGGCACUCAGUGGGCUUGGGACGGGAGUGACUGACCAAUCACUACAGACAUUUUCAGUAUUUUAAUAGCUAGUGAGACUCAGCUGAUUCCUGUCAGCUGAAUAUUGCCCUGUCUCUGGACAGCAAGGCACGUCUCAGGGUCCUGGGAUCUGGGACAGGUGGGGACAUUGCACCAGGCUCAGGGGAGUUUUGAGGGUCUGCGGACCUCCUCUUCCCUCCCCGUCCAGCCUUACCCUCCACCUCUGGGUGCUUCGUGAGCAGCAGGAAGCCGUAGCGCAGGGUGGUGCUGACGGUCUCGGUGCCCGCAAUGAAGAGGUUCAGCGAGGUCAGCACCAGGUUCUUCAAGUAGAACUCCGUGUUUGGGUUCUUCUCCUCCUGCAGGGAGAGGGGGCUUUAGGCCAGUCUCACCCCUCUUGCCCGUAAGGCGUGCCACCACAUCUGGCUAAUGUUUUAAAAAAUUUGUUGAAAAGACCGCCUCCUGCCACGUUGCCCAGGCUGGUCUCAAACUCCUGGGCUCCAGCAAUCCUCCUUCCUCAGCCCCACAAAGUGCUGGGAUUUCAGGUGUGAGCCAUUGCUCACAGCCCAGAUUAUUAUUUAUUUAUUUAUUUUUUGAGAUGGAAUCUUGCUAUGUCACCCAGGCUAUAGUGUAGUGGCGUGAUCUCGGCUCACUACAGCCUCCACCUCCUUAGUUCAAGAGAUUCUCCUGCCUCAGCCUUCCAAGUAGCUGGCAUUACAGGCGUGCACCACCAUGUCUGGCUAAUUUUUGUAUUUUUAGUAGAGAUGGGCUUUCACCACGUUGGCUAGGUUGGUCUCGAACUCCUGAACUCAAGUGAUCCGUCCUUCUCAGCCUCCCGAAGUGCUGGGAUUACAGGUGUGAGCCACUGUGUCUGGCCGAGGCCCAGAUUAAAAUGUUAAAAAAAAAUGCUCUUAACGCAGAUUCAUCUGAGGUUAACAUUUUAACCCACUCCCAGUGUGAUUUGUUCUAUUCUAUCAAUCAAUCAUCUAUCUAUCUUACUGUGUUUUAUGCUACUAUAACAAAAUACUACAGACUAGGU